GACGAACGCUGGCGGCGUGCUUAACACAUGCAAGUCGAACGGAAAGGCCCUGCUUUUGUGGGGUGCUCGAGUGGCGAACGGGUGAGUAACACGUGAGUAACCUGCCCUUGACUUUGGGAUAACUUCAGGAAACUGGGGCUCAUACCGGAUAGGAGCUCCUGCUGCAUGGUGGGUGUUGGAAAGUUUCGGCGGUUGGGGAUGGACUCGCGGCUUAUCAGCUUGUUGGUGGGGUAGUGGCUUACCAAGGCUUUGACGGGUAGCCGGCCUGGGAGGGUGUCCGGCCACAGCGGGGCUGGGUAGCGGCACGGAGUGCUGGGGGGGGCAGAGGGGGGAAAAGACACAGAGGGGGGGCAGGGGGGAGGCGGCAGCGGGGGGUGGGGGAAGACGGACGGAGAUUUGAAACACGCUUUCGGCGGGAACGAAGCGGGAGUUAGGGAAAGGAGGAAAGAGGCGACGGAUAACUAAGUGCCAGAAGGGGAGAAAAAAAGACCGCGAGCCAGAGC
Molecule: ribosomal RNA, 503 nt
Filed under: uncultured bacterium
Lineage: Bacteria
Description: partial 16S ribosomal RNA
Rfam family: Bacterial small subunit ribosomal RNA (bases 20-329)
Source: RNAcentral